Molecule: ribosomal RNA, 253 nt
Filed under: uncultured bacterium
Lineage: Bacteria
Description: partial 16S ribosomal RNA
Rfam family: Bacterial small subunit ribosomal RNA
Source: RNAcentral
GACGAACCGUGCGAACGUUGUUCGGAAUCACUGGGCUUAAAGGGCGCGUAGGCGGGCUGCCGCGUCCGGGGUGAAAUCCCACGGCUCAACCGUGGAACUGCCCCGGAUACGGGCGGCCUCGAGGGGGGUAGGGGCAUCUGGAACUGUGAGUGGAGCGGUGAAAUGCGUUGAUAUUCACAGGAACUCCGGUGGCGAAGGCGAGGUGCUGGACCCCUCCUGACGCUGAGGCGCGAAAGCCAGGGGAGCAAACGGG